AGAUACCAGCCAUAUAAUGCAGGAAAGAGAAGACCAAACUGAAACCAGUCAGGUGGAAGAAUGCAGUGAUGAAACAGAUACCAGCAGUAUAACCCAGGAGAAGGAAGAUCAAGCUUUCGCCAGUCAUGUGGAAGAAUACAAUGAAAAGACAGCUAUUGCCACAGCUAGAAAUGCAUCAGAGAUGGAAAAAAGGAGUGAUGAUAUCAAUGCUGCAGAAAAGAAGACAGGUCCAACAGGUGAGGCCA
Hyla sarda is the source of this 245-nucleotide long non-coding RNA. RefSeq lists it as uncharacterized. Lineage: Eukaryota; Metazoa; Chordata; Amphibia; Anura; Hylidae. The record is from RefSeq and is a predicted model, not a curated record. The transcript is spliced from 3 exons.